This is a long non-coding RNA of Sorghum bicolor (sorghum), 708 nucleotides long. RefSeq lists it as uncharacterized. The record is from RefSeq and is a predicted model, not a curated record. The transcript has 2 exons. Lineage: Eukaryota; Viridiplantae; Streptophyta; Magnoliopsida; Poales; Poaceae.
UAAACGAAGAGACCCUUAGCUAGGCCACUCCCAACCCAAAACAGAACCGCCGGAUCCGAUCGAAGGCGGCGCGCGACGACAGCUGUUUUGUUUGCACCGUCUCCGACUCCACCUGCACAACGCCUUUCCAAUCGCCGCAGUUUUGGUUUUUAGUACCAUACCGGAGCAUUUCGCGGUACGCGACCAGCUUAACGACGUGCCCGACGAGGUAGUCUCCGCCGGGCCUCGUAGCGGUGGCCCACGUCAUCCCAAGCUUUGGGGGCAAAGGUGCUGGCUCGGCGGGGAGCAAGAGCAUCGCAGAGACUGGAUCCGACAUCUUCGGCUCACUGCUGGCCUAAUCCGGUGUGACGGUCGCGAUCGUAAAUCCGGACAGGCCUGUACGCGGAAGGUGGCUCGCUCCGUCCUUUGCUUUGCUCUCCAUCGAACCACCACCUUUUGCUUCUUUUUUCUCUGGAUCUUCAGGUGGACUCCGGGUGCAGAUAACUGAAAUGCAAGAAUCAACUUAAACUGGCGAUGAACAAGAAUCUUUGUUGAUGUUCUGACAAAUGCUUGCCAAAGUUUACUUAAAGCGGCCCUGACAAAUUUCACUUGAGGUGAUGAAAUCGGUGAAAUUGCCACUUCGAGAUGGCCCUGACAAAUGCUUCGCAGUGUCCAAACUAUUCAUGUCUGCUUGGCAAAUGACACUGCCCAAAGAAAAAAAAUUUUGAA